Molecule: long non-coding RNA, 627 nt
Organism: Alnus glutinosa
Lineage: Eukaryota; Viridiplantae; Streptophyta; Magnoliopsida; Fagales; Betulaceae
Exons: 2
Source: RefSeq, a predicted model, not a curated record
CGUAGAAAUAAGGAAAGAAACAAAGAGAGAAAAGGAAAAGAGGGAGAAGCGUGGAAAACGAAGGAAGAAGAAGACGAAAGAAGAAAAAGAAGAGAAGAAAAAAAGGAAGAAGAAGACGAAAGAAGAAAAAGAAGAGAAGAAAAAGAGAAGAAAAGACGAAGAAAAAGAAAAGAAAAGAAGAAAACGAAAGGCGCGGCCCUUCAAUAAAAUGAGACGCAUUGCGUCUUGCGAGGCAUUCAGCCUGAGGCAGAGCCUCUCUUUCUCAGUUUUCCUCUUUUGAUUUUUCGUACAAAAAUCAUGAUCUAUGAAGAUCUAGCCGUUCAAUUUCAAAUCUGACUUCGGUAACGUGAUAUACGAAACCCGAUCUACGUUUCUACCGAUUGGUUUGAGAAAAAGGAGCUAAGAAACUAUACAAGAAGAGUAAAAGCUUGAUCCCGAUGCUAAUGGAAAGUCCAAGUUAUGAGCAGAGCAACCUAGGCGGCCGGGAUGGGAUCUAGGAAUGCAUUAGAACAUUGCAUUUAUAUUAUCUUAAUAAGUGCACUUGCACAACAAAUUCAGCUUUUCUUUAAAUUCUCAGUUAUUGAAUCUUUCGUAAUUAAAUUUUCGAAAUCAUCGUUUCCGCAUUUA